RNAcentral lists this ribosomal RNA (468 nucleotides) under uncultured bacterium. RNAcentral describes it as "partial 16S ribosomal RNA". It matches the Rfam family "Bacterial small subunit ribosomal RNA", at positions 28 to 507 of the family's 1533-position model. The record is from RNAcentral.
GACGAACGCUGGCGGCGUGCUUAACACAUGCAAGUCGAACGGAAAGGCCCUGCUUUUGUGGGGUGCUCGAGUGGCGAACGGGUGAGUAACACGUGAGUAACCUGCCCUUGACUUUGGGAUAACUUCAGGAAACUGGGGCUAAUACCGGAUAGGAGCUCCUGCUGCAUGGUGGGGGUUGGAAAGUUUCGGCGGUUGUGGAUGGACUCGCGGCUUAUCAGCUUGUUGGUGGGGUAGUGGCUUACCAAGGCUUUGACGGGUAGCCGGCCUGAGAGGGUGACCGGCCACAUUGGGACUGAGAUACGGCCCAGACUCCUACGGGAGGCAGCAGUGGGGAAUAUUGCACAAUGGGCGGAAGCCUGAUGCAGCAACGCCGCGUGCGGGAUGACGGCCUUCGGGUUGUAAACCGCUGUCGCCUGUGACGAAGCGUGAGUGACGGUAAUGGGUAAAGAAGCACCGGCUAACUACGUG